GCUGAAUACAACAGGUGUAGUAGACCUUACAGUGAAAUGCUGAAUACAACAGGUGUAGUAGACCUUACAGUGAAAUGCUGAAUACAACAGGUGUAGUAGACCUUAUAGUGAAAUGCUGAAUACAACAGGUGUAGUAGACCUUACAGGGAAAUGCUGAAUACAACAGGUGUAGUAGACCUUACAGUGAAAUGCUGAAUACAACAGGUGUAGUAGACCUCACAGUGAAAUGCUGAAUACAACAGGUGUAGUAGACCUCACAGUGAAAUGCUGAAUACAACAGGUGUAGUAGACCUUACAGUGAAAUGCUGAAUACAACAGGUGUAGUAGACCUCACAGUGAAAUGCUGAAUACAACAGGUGUUGUAG
This is a long non-coding RNA of Oncorhynchus tshawytscha (Chinook salmon), 365 nucleotides long. The record is from Ensembl. NCBI's taxonomy places the organism in Eukaryota, Metazoa, Chordata, Actinopteri, Salmoniformes, Salmonidae.